This 371-nucleotide ribosomal RNA is filed under the name uncultured organism. RNAcentral's name for it is "bacterial SSU rRNA". It matches the Rfam family "Bacterial small subunit ribosomal RNA", at positions 526 to 895 of the family's 1533-position model. The record is from RNAcentral.
CGUAGGGUGCUAGCGUUGUUCGGAAUCAUUGGGCGUAAAGCGCGUGUAGGCGGUUAGUUAAGUCAGAUGUGAAAUCCCUGGGCUCAACCGAGGAAGUGCAUUUGAAACUAAUUAGCUAGAGAGUGGUAGAGGAAGGUGGAAUUCCGUGUGUAGAGGUGAAAUUCGUAGAUAUACGGAGGAAUACCGGUGGCGAAGGCGGCCUUCUGGACCAUUUCUGACGCUGAGACGCGAAAGCGUGGGGAGCAAACAGGAUUAGAUACCCUGGUAGUCCACGCCGUAAACGAUGGGUACUAGAUGUUGCGGGAAUUGACCCCUGCAGUGUCGACGCUAACGCAUUAAGUACCCCGCCUGGGAAGUACGGCCGCAAGGUU